This 364-nucleotide ribosomal RNA is filed under the name Arachnia propionica. Its description in RNAcentral is "bacterial SSU rRNA". It matches the Rfam family "Bacterial small subunit ribosomal RNA", at positions 97 to 474 of the family's 1533-position model. Lineage: Bacteria; Bacillati; Actinomycetota; Actinomycetes; Propionibacteriales; Propionibacteriaceae. The record is from RNAcentral.
GGCGAACGGGUGAGUAACACGUGAGUAACCUGCCUCAUCUCUGGGAUAACAGUCGGAAACGGUUGCUAAUACUGGAUAUGAGCUUUCAAGGCAUCUUGUUGGUGGAAAGAUUAUUUUUGGUUGGGGAUGGACUCGCGGCCUAUCAGCUUGUUGGUGAGGUAGUGGCUCACCAAGGCUUCGACGGGUAGCCGGCCUGAGAGGGCGACCGGCCACAUUGGGACUGAGAUACGGCCCAAAUUCCUACGGGAGGCAGCAGUGGGGAAUAUUGCACAAUGGACGGAAGUCUGAUGCAGCAACCCCGCGUGCGGGAUGACCGGCUUCGGGUUGUAAACCGCUUUCAAUUGUGACGAAGCUUUUUGUGACG